Acanthosepion pharaonis is the source of this 112-nucleotide non-coding RNA. The record is from the annotation of a GenBank genome assembly. Lineage: Eukaryota; Metazoa; Mollusca; Cephalopoda; Sepiida; Sepiidae.
AUGGCCACAUCACAUUGAAACACUGGUUCCCAUAUAAUCACCAAAGUUAAGCAAGGUUGAGCCUGGUCAGUAUCUAGAUGGGUUAACACUUGGGAAUACCAGGUGUUGUAAG